Molecule: small nuclear RNA, 199 nt
Organism: Astyanax mexicanus (Mexican tetra)
Lineage: Eukaryota; Metazoa; Chordata; Actinopteri; Characiformes; Acestrorhamphidae
Rfam family: U2 spliceosomal RNA
About the family: U2 is a small nuclear RNA (snRNA) component of the spliceosome (involved in pre-mRNA splicing). Complementary binding between U2 snRNA (in an area lying towards the 5' end but 3' to hairpin I) and the branchpoint sequence (BPS) of the intron results the bulging out of an unpaired adenosine, on the BPS, which initiates a nucleophilic attack at the intronic 5' splice site, thus starting the first of two transesterification reactions that mediate splicing.
Source: Rfam
UUUGCUUUUAGCGAAGCUGCUCAUCUCAGUACCAAAAAAAAAAAAAUCUGUUCUUAUCAGUUUAAUAUCUGAUACGCCCUCUAUAUGAGGGCUACAUAUUAAAUGGAUUUUUAGAACAGGGAGCCAGAACAGGAGCUUGCUCCUUCUGCUCCACGCAUCGACCUGGUAUUGCAGUACCUCCAGGAGCGGUGCACCUUCC